AUUGAACGCUGGCGGCAGGCCUAACACAUGCAAGUCGAACGGUAACAGGAAACAGCUUGCUGUUUCGCUGACGAGUGGCGGACGGGUGAGUAAUGUCUGGGAAACUGCCUGAUGGAGGGGGAUAACUACUGGAAACGGUAGCUAAUACCGCAUAACGUCGCAAGACCAAAGAGGGGGACCUUCGGGCCUCUUGCCAUCGGAUGAGCCCAGAUGGGAUUAGCUAGUAGGUGGGGUAACGGCUCACCUAGGCGACGAUCCCUAGCUGGUCUGAGAGGAUGACCAGCCACACUGGAACUGAGACACGGUCCAGACUCCUACGGGAGGCAGCAGUGGGGAAUAUUGCACAAUGGGCGCAAGCCUGAUGCAGCCAUGCCGCGUGUAUGAAGAAGGCCUUCGGGUUGUAAAGUACUUUCAGCGGGGAUGAAGGGAGUAAAGUUAAUACCUUUGCUCAUUGACGUUACCCGCAGAAGAAGCACCGGCUAACUCCGUG
RNAcentral lists this ribosomal RNA (490 nucleotides) under uncultured bacterium. Its description in RNAcentral is "partial 16S ribosomal RNA". It matches the Rfam family "Bacterial small subunit ribosomal RNA", at positions 30 to 507 of the family's 1533-position model. The record is from RNAcentral.